AGAGAGAGAGAGAGGGGGAGAGAAUCAGAGAGUGGAUGAUGUACCUGGGGAGCAGGCUGGGUGUGAUCCACCUGCUGAGUGACUUGUAUGUUAUUUUCUUUGAAAUGAAUGGAAAUCCCUUUUGUUCAAUUUUUUGAUGAGAUCGAAAAGCGUCCAAAUUGUAUGAGUACUUAAUUGUUUGAACGUAUUGGACAUUAAACUUGAAAGCAACCAUUAACCCAAGUAUAAGAGAUCGGAAAAACAUUACACGUAAGCAUGAGAUCGGAUUAAGCCAUGACCCAAACACUGAGUAAAACUUUAGAACAUUAGAAUUGGAA
RNAcentral lists this unclassified non-coding RNA (317 nucleotides) under Hevea brasiliensis (rubber tree). The record is from RNAcentral. Lineage: Eukaryota; Viridiplantae; Streptophyta; Magnoliopsida; Malpighiales; Euphorbiaceae.